This 501-nucleotide small RNA is filed under the name Pongo abelii (Sumatran orangutan). RNAcentral's name for it is "retained intron". The record is from RNAcentral. Lineage: Eukaryota; Metazoa; Chordata; Mammalia; Primates; Hominidae.
AUGGCAUGAGGAAUGCUGACUGCUCUAAACGUUGAACUUCUAGAAGCUUGAACCCAUUGACUUGCCGCGAGUAAUUACUUCAGGAAGACUCCUGAGCCAGCGAGAAGCCAGGACAAUGCACAAAGCAAAGCAGGUACCAGAAAAGAAAAUGCAAACUCCAAUGUAUACUUCUGAGAACAGACAAUAUUUGCAUAAGAUGCAAAUGCUGGAAAUGAUCUGUAAAAGACAAGAGGCCCAAAUGGAGUUAAAGAAAAGUCUUCAUGGAGAGGCAAGAAUUAAUAAGCAAAGUCCAAGGGACCAUAAAGCCAAGAAAACUCUUCAAAGCACCCCAAGGAAUGAUGACCAUGACCUUCUAACCAUGUUGCCUGAUGAAAUCUUGAACAGAGGUCCCGGGCAAACCCACAGUUGAAAUUUCCAAUAUUGUCCACACACACAGAUUGCUGUGCUGUGGGCCAAAUCCCCACAUCAGCAGGACUGACCCACCACUGAGAGAGCUGCAGA